This 450-nucleotide ribosomal RNA is filed under the name uncultured bacterium. RNAcentral describes it as "bacterial SSU rRNA". It matches the Rfam family "Bacterial small subunit ribosomal RNA", at positions 29 to 526 of the family's 1533-position model. The record is from RNAcentral.
AACGAACGCUGGCGGCAGGCUUAACACAUGCAAGUCGAACGCCCCGCAAGGGGAGUGGCAGACGGGUGAGUAACACGUGGGAACGUACCCUUCGGUUCGGAAUAACACAGAGAAAUUUGUGCUAAUACCGGAUACGUCUGAGAGGAGAAAGAUUUAUCGCCGAAGGAUCGGCCCGCGUCUGAUUAGCUAGUUGGUGAGGUAAUGGCUCACCAAGGCGACGAUCAGUAGCUGGUCUGAGAGGAUGAUCAGCCACACUGGGACUGAGACACGGCCCAGACUCCUACGGGAGGCAGCAGUGGGGAAUAUUGGACAAUGGGCGAAAGCCUGAUCCAGCCAUGCCGCGUGAGUGAUGAAGGCCCUAGGGUUGUAAAGCUCUUUUACCUGGGAAGAUAAUGACUGUACCAGGAGAAUAAGCCCCGGCUAACUUCGUGCCAGCCGCCGCCGUAAAAC